UACGGGGGGGGCAAGCGUGGUUCGGAAUUACUGGGCGUAAAGGGUGCGUAGGCGGCUUUCUAAGUUGGAUGUGAAAACUCUGGGCUCAACCCAGAGCCUGCAUCCAAAACUGGAGAGCUAGGGUUCUGGAGGGGAAAGCGGAAUUCCUGGUGUAGCGGUGAAAUGCGUAGAUAUCAGGAGGAACACCGGUGGCGAAGGCGGCUUUCUGGACAGAUACCGACGCUGAGGCACGAAAGCUAGGGGAGCAAACAGG
Molecule: ribosomal RNA, 253 nt
Filed under: uncultured bacterium
Lineage: Bacteria
Description: partial 16S ribosomal RNA
Rfam family: Bacterial small subunit ribosomal RNA
Source: RNAcentral